Non-coding RNA from Gossypium hirsutum (cotton), 97 nucleotides. Lineage: Eukaryota; Viridiplantae; Streptophyta; Magnoliopsida; Malvales; Malvaceae. The record is from Rfam.
GUUGAGGGGAAUGCUGUCUGGUUCGAGACCAUUCGUUCCGAAGGUCUUGGAAGACUCGGUUUCGAAUGAUCUCGGACCAGGCUUCAUUCCCCCUAAC